UACGUAGGGGGCAAGCGUUGUCCGGAAUCAUUGGGCGUAAAGAGCGCGUAGCGGCCUGUAAGUCCGCUGUGAAAGUCAAGGGCUCAACCCUUGGAUGCCGGUGGAUACUGCAGGGCUAGAGUCCGGAAGAGGCGAGUGGAAUUCCUGGUGUAGCGGUGAAAUGCGCAGAUAUCAGGAGGAACACCGAUGGCGAAGGCAGCUCGCUGGGACGGUACUGGACGCUGAGGCGCCGAAAGCGUGGGGAGCAAACAGGA
Molecule: ribosomal RNA, 254 nt
Filed under: uncultured bacterium
Lineage: Bacteria
Description: partial 16S ribosomal RNA
Rfam family: Bacterial small subunit ribosomal RNA
Source: RNAcentral